UGGUUAGCGUGACCAUAGAGAUAUGACCGUGACAACUUCAAGAACUGCGGAGCAGAGCUGAACGCGCUGUUUUUUUCCCUCUCAACGUCUUUUGCUAAUCUUCCCACGCUCAGCGGUCAGGUGUUUUUUAUAGAACCAAUGAUGGGGAUCGUGAUGGCAGGGAUCGUCACCACCCACCUCUGAUGUCCACUGUUUCCUCAGGACAACAAACAGAAGACUGAAAUACUCUCAGGAGGCUUGUCACUCAAACCCAGAGCUCUAAAAAUCACACAAAC
This is a long non-coding RNA of Seriola aureovittata, 275 nucleotides long. RefSeq lists it as uncharacterized. NCBI's taxonomy places the organism in Eukaryota, Metazoa, Chordata, Actinopteri, Carangiformes, Carangidae. The transcript has 3 exons. The record is from RefSeq and is a predicted model, not a curated record.